Molecule: ribosomal RNA, 255 nt
Filed under: uncultured bacterium
Lineage: Bacteria
Description: partial 16S ribosomal RNA
Rfam family: Bacterial small subunit ribosomal RNA
Source: RNAcentral
CGGGGUGAGUAACGCGUGAGCAACCUGCCCUCGAAGUGGGGGACGAACAGUUGGAAACGAACUGCUAAUACCGCAUAAUAUAUUUAGAUCGCAUGGUUUAGAUAUCAAAGAUUUAUCGCUUCAAGAUGGGCUCGCGUCUGAUUAGGUAGUUGGCGGGGUAACGGCCCGCCAAGCCGACGAUCAGUAGCCGGACUGAGAGGUUGAACGGCCACAUUGGGACUGAGAUACGGCCCAGACUCCUACGGAAGGCAGCAG